This 318-nucleotide long non-coding RNA is filed under the name Arabidopsis lyrata. RNAcentral describes it as "long non-coding RNA (ALYR_LNC001295)". The record is from RNAcentral. Lineage: Eukaryota; Viridiplantae; Streptophyta; Magnoliopsida; Brassicales; Brassicaceae.
AUAAAAUAAAACAAACAUUGAUGCAUUGAAGGAGGACACAUAUUUUAUAUAUGUUAAUUUGGGGUUUUCACAUCUCUUUCUCGCUUCUGACUAAGCACAGCUAGUCAAAGCUUUAAAAUCAGAGCUUCAGCACAAGGAGCUUUAUGGGAUUCUCUUUGAUAUCCUGAUUUUAUCUUAUACCUUUGAUGUUAUUUCGUUUAGUUUCAUUCCCCGUUUGCAGAACUCUGAUGCCGAUUAUAAUAUAUGUUACACUUAAUUAUAAUCAUAUUUAAUUUAGGAAAAUGAUUUUAGAUGAUAUAAUAAAAAUUUUAUUUUUAA